GAUGGCUCCACAUCAUCCCCUCUCCCCACAGUCCCUGUAGCUCUUCAAUGGCUCCUUACUGCCCUCCUCUGGCUAUAAAUGAAGGGAAUCAUAGACCAUGACAGUCUGAGACAUGAGACAGUGGAGCAGGGUGGGAUGAGACUUCAGAGCUGAUAUGGGCAGGUAAACACAAAGUCCUGUGCUUGGUAGUUGUCUGUUUUUAAAUGAUCUCCCAACACAUAACAACAAGGAGUCAAAAAGAGGUCCAGAUUAGGACUGCUGCAAAUCAACGUUUAUUGGUCGCAUACACAGUUUGGCAGAUGUUAUAGCAGGUGCAGCGAAAUGCUUACGUUACUAGCAGUAAAAUGUCAAACUGCUCUCCAGGACCAGUGUUGUCUACCAAUGGAUUAGGUAACUGUUUUUGGUAAAAGGCUGGUUGUGGACAUAGGAUACACUAAAAUUCACUCAAUCACCCACCACACCAACCAGCAUCCAUUCUGACUCCCUUUCCUCAACAGCAUCAAACACCCAAUCUUGAAUUCCUCAACAACAACAAAAGAGUUACGCCAAAGUCCUCUUUCUCGCUUCGAGAUAUAGAGAGAUUGAUGUAAUAAUAAGGCCCUCCUAACUCUCAAUGUUGUCUCCACAUCAGGUAGUCUGACUACCAGUCUUUUUGGCUAGCAUUCCACUCCUUGUCACUCCAGUCUUUUAGGCUAGCAUUCCACUCCUUGUCACUCCAGUCUUUUAGGCUAGCAUUCCACUCCUUGUCACUCCAGUCUUUUAGGCUAGCAUUCCACUCCUUGUCACUCCAGUCUUUUAGCUAGCAUUCCACUCCUUGUCACUCCAGUCUUUUAGGCUAGCAUUCCACUCCUUGUCACUCCAGUCUUUUUGGCUAGCAUUCCACUCCUUGUCACUCCAGUCUUUUAGGCUAGCAUUCCACUCCUUGUCACUCCAGUCUUUUAGGCUAGCAUUCCACUCCUUGUCACUCCAGUCUUUUUGGCUAGCAUUCCACUCCUUGUCACUCCAGUCUUUUAGGCUAGCAUUCCACUCCUUGUCACUCCAGUCUUUUAGGCUAGCAUUCCACUCCUUGUCACUCCAGUCUUUUAGCUAGCGUUCCACUCCUUGUCACUCCAGUCUUUUGCAAAUGACAUGAAUGUCAAGGAGUGGAAUGUAAUGGCUGAACAGAGGGCAGCUUUUAAAUAAUUCCCACCUUUAUAUUCUAUACAAAUAUAUAAAUAUACAAAACCUUUGAACAUGUUCUUAUUAUGAACAAGCGUUGGCAUGCUAAUUGACUCAAACUAUUUGUCUCCUUUACAUGCAAAACUGAUAUUUUGCCGAAUAAAAGUAGGAUCUGAGCAGUCGUGUGCAUGAACUGUAUGUGAGACUGUGUGUUCAGGUAUUUUGGCUGGCAAAAUCUGUUUGUGGUUUAAGCCACUCAAACAAACUUCAUGUAUUGUCAAGUUCAGGAUAUUGAUACAUUGGGUUUGAUAUAUUGACAAAUAGUUGAAAACAAAAGCCUAUGAGUCACUUGAGCUUGGAACUGUGUAACAGCCAUAUAAGAACCAAACCAAGACCCGUUUCAACACGGGCUUGGUAAGGUGUUUCCCUUCCAAACCAAGGCCUUUUUCAGCAAGGGGCUGGUAAGG
Molecule: long non-coding RNA, 1625 nt
Filed under: Salmo salar (Atlantic salmon)
Lineage: Eukaryota; Metazoa; Chordata; Actinopteri; Salmoniformes; Salmonidae
Description: lncRNA (ENSSSAG00000099472.1)
Source: RNAcentral